Long non-coding RNA from Hemicordylus capensis (graceful crag lizard), 1555 nucleotides. RefSeq lists it as uncharacterized. The record is from RefSeq and is a predicted model, not a curated record. NCBI's taxonomy places the organism in Eukaryota, Metazoa, Chordata, Lepidosauria, Squamata, Cordylidae. The transcript has 2 exons.
GGGUGGGGUGAUGAUUCCUCCUCUGUUUGUUUUGGUUCCAGGGAGUCCUCAGAGUCAGAAGACAGAGACAAGAGAGUAUCUUCUGGGCAAGCAUCGCUGGUGAGAUUGGAUCCUGGCCAGCCACAACCUGUCCAGGAAGGACCUGCGUGCCUGCCAUGCCUAUGGACCAGCCAGAUCCUGCCCCACUCAAGCUGAUGGCCAACAUUGUGCAUUGCCCAGCUAUGCAACAGGAGGGAUGUGGACUACCUCCAGCUCUCAAAGGACCUUAUCACACAGCAUGCUGAUAGCUCGCAGGCCACCUGUGAGCUGCUGCACUAAAUGGACCAAAGAGAGGGAGGAAUUCAUAAGGAAGACAGGCGGGUCUUGCAAGAGGUCACAGCUCAGAUGGUGUGGGCCUACCAACAGGUGUCUGAGCGUACAGUGCAGGCCUACAAAAAAAUCUCGGAUCACACUGCAAGGGAAGUGGUGGCUGCCAUGGAGCAGUCUGAUGCAGCAGCUGAGAGGAGGCUUGAGAGGUACACUGCCAACCUUGAAUGAAUGGCUGACUCUGUUUUUAGAAUUGCAACCAGCUGCCACCCUUUGCACCUCAACAACAGCUGCUCUACCAACUUCAGUUGCUGAUGCCAGGACCCUACCUGCCUGCAUUUAUGGGCCACUACGGGCUCUCAAGUAGUGCAGGGGCAGUUCUUUGUUCCCCUCCAGAAGCACCCACAGGCCCAUAUGCCCCCUGCCCCACCUCAAGGGAGCUUCAGGGUUCUGCAAGGUGGGCAUUUGCCUUCCAUGCCUGAGACACCCUUAAGACCUCCUCCUGUGGGUCCACAUGCAGGGCCCUCAGGAGGUAGCCCAGUCGUUGCAUAUGGGCAGCAAUCCCGCACCCCUGUGCAUACGUAACCCAUGGCCCAUGCACAAGCCCCUCAGCGCCAGUGGGCCCUCAGUUGCACCCCCACAGCUGCCACUAUGCAGGGUCCCCACCAAGAUACCAUACACCACCCCAGACCAAAAGCCUGGUUGUAAAGGGCGGUGGGGAGGGGGGGCUCUGUCCAGAAAUGUGACACCCCCACCUGCACCUUCCCUCAUGAAGAGAAGGCCAACAUGCAAAGAAGCGCUGUGCAGCCACAUUCAUGCGUGGGCUUCUCUGAGGUGAAAGAAACAACUGGGGGGUACAGUAGGAGAUGGCUAUGAACAAGCUACUGCUCCCCAAGAGCAGAGCAGAGGGGAGCCUGAGGAAACAGCCGCCUAAUCCUCCUCCACCACAUAGGCUCGCGACUCCACCAUGGUCUACGUGCUCCUGAACAGGUGAAUGCCACCUGGAAGGCAUAGCUGCAACCUCCCUUGCUUUGCUUUGUUUAGAAGGCACUUUAUAGUAGCUUUAGACCCCCAAAGUGCUGGUAAACCCCCAAACCACAAGCUCUCAAGCCCACACCCAGCUUCUAGUCCUAUGUUCACACCCACGUGCUCCAAAUCAUCCCUUUUGGUUGUUUUCCUCUUUGAAGUUUGCAAAGAGGAUUUUGUUGGUCACAUCCUUGAAAUAAAGUGUUGCUCUUUGCUUUGAAAA